Molecule: ribosomal RNA, 394 nt
Filed under: uncultured bacterium
Lineage: Bacteria
Description: partial 16S ribosomal RNA
Rfam family: Bacterial small subunit ribosomal RNA
Source: RNAcentral
AUACGUAGGGAGCGAGCGUUGUCCGGAAUUACUGGGCGUAAAGGGCGCGUAGGCGGCGCUUCAAGUCGUCUGUCAAAUGGGAGGGCUUAACCCUUUUUCGCAGACGAAACUGGAGAGCUUGAGAAGCAGAGAGGCAAACAGAAUUCCUGGUGUAGCGGGGAAAUGCGUAGAUAUCAGGAAGAAUACCAGUGGCGAAGGCGGUUUGCUGGCUGCAUACUGACGCUGAAGCGCGAAAGCCAGGGGAGCAAACGGGAUUAGAUACCCCGGUAGUCCUGGCAGUAAACGAUGUAUGCUAGGUGUGAGACUAGCGAUAGUUUCGUGCCGAAGUUAACGCGAUAAGCAUACCGCCUGGGGAGUACGGUCGCAAGAUUGAAACUCAAAUGAAUUGGCGGGG